ACUCCUACGGGAGGCAGCACGUGUGGGAAUAUUGGACAAUGGGCGCAAGCCUGAUCCAGCAAUGCCGCGCUGAGUGAUGAAGGCCUUAGGGUUGUAAAGCUCUUUCGCACGCGACGAUGAUGACGGUAGCGUGAGAAGAAGCCCCGGCUAACUUCGUGCCAGCAGCCGCGGUAAUA
This 176-nucleotide ribosomal RNA is filed under the name uncultured bacterium. RNAcentral describes it as "partial 16S ribosomal RNA". It matches the Rfam family "Bacterial small subunit ribosomal RNA", at positions 335 to 525 of the family's 1533-position model. The record is from RNAcentral.